UAACUUGCGCAUGCCGAAGGUUUCCAUCUCUUCAUGCAGAUGAAGAGAUGGGAUUAAAAGGGAAGCCGGUGCGGACCAUAUGGUCCUAUUCCGGCGCUGCCCCGCAGCGGUAAUUGGAAACGACAUCGCCACAUGCACUGGUCCAGUGACCGGGAAGCGGCGACGUAGGCCACAUGCACGCAGCAUCCGCAUGCCGUCCAUAAGCCCGAAGACCUGCCCCGGCCGGGGGACCUGU
Molecule: non-coding RNA, 235 nt
Filed under: Pseudoxanthomonas dokdonensis
Lineage: Bacteria; Pseudomonadati; Pseudomonadota; Gammaproteobacteria; Lysobacterales; Lysobacteraceae
Source: RNAcentral